Molecule: small RNA, 107 nt
Filed under: Marmota monax (woodchuck)
Lineage: Eukaryota; Metazoa; Chordata; Mammalia; Rodentia; Sciuridae
Source: RNAcentral
GCCAGGCAUAGUGGUGCCCGCCUGUAAUCCCAGCAACGUGGGAGGCUGAGGCAGGAGGAUCACAAGUUGGAGGCCAAUCUCAGCAACAUCGUGAGACCCUGUCUCAA